CAAUAGCGUAUAUUAAAGUUGUUGCAGUUAGAACGCUCGUAGUCGGAUUUCGGGGCGGGCCGACCGGUCUGCCGAUGGGUACGCACUGGUCGGCGCGUCCUUCCUUCCGGAGACCGUGCCUACUCUUAACUGAGCGGGGGCGGGAGACGGAACGUUUACUUUGAAAAAAUCAGAGUGUUUCAAGCAGGCAGUGCGCUCUUGCAUGGAUUAGCAUGGGAUAAUGAAAUAGGACUUUGGUGCUAUUUUGUUGGUUUCGAACACCGAAGUAAUGAUUAAAAGGGACAGUCAGGGGCACUCGUGUUCCGCCGAGAGAGGUGAAAUUCUCAGACCAGCGGAAGACGAACCACUGCGAAAGCAUUUGCCAGGGAUGUUUUCACUGA
Molecule: ribosomal RNA, 380 nt
Filed under: uncultured eukaryote
Lineage: Eukaryota
Description: partial 18S ribosomal RNA
Rfam family: Eukaryotic small subunit ribosomal RNA
Source: RNAcentral